CUGAGCGCGGCGGCGGGGCCCGCCCGCAGGGCCGGGAGCGCGUCAGGGGCCGGUGCCAGGAGCUCUCUGCCAGGGACUUGCGGCGGCCGAAGCUCCUGGGACACCCCACCCUGGUCUCCACCCCCCUUCACCCUCCGGCUCUAAAUACCUCGUUGCUACAAACAGCCAUUGCCCGCCGAUGCGCGCGCCGAUUUCCUCCCCCUCCCCCCCACCUUUUUUUUAAAAUUAUUAUUAUUUUUUUUAAUAACCAUGAAGCUGUUUUUCAGCAUAAAGAUGGUUGAUUGCGCCGUGGGUGCUGCUCAGUAACCAGCCACCUCUCGCCGCUGCCCAGGCGGCCCUGAGCCGACUUUAGAAAGAGACAUACACACAGUGAAAAAAGAAAAAAAAAAAGAAAAAAAAAAAAAAAAAGAGGAAAGAAAAGAGGGGAAACAAAGCAAAAGUGGCCGUAAUAGUCUCACCCCAGCCCUUGGCUGCAGGCAAAAAAUCCCUUUCAUGAACAAGGAAGGAGGCAACAAUGUUUUUACAGUCCUGAGAAGUGCCUGUUACUAGAAAUGAUUUUCACUUUGUUCCUGAAAAGUAUGCCAAGUUUACUGGUGUUUACUGGUGAUGUUACAAAUAGAAGCAGGACUGGCAGGAGGGAGCAUGAGCUUUACAGUGGAGCAUGUGACAGCAGGGACCUGCUCCAGGUAAAUGGAGGACAUGCAGCAGGGCCUCUGCCAGGCCAGUAAAAAGCUUGAGUUCAUGAAGGGUGCAAAUUUCACUGUGCUUUCUUUUCCUUCCAGCAUCAGUCCUCUACUUUCAGGCACACUGGUCUAGAAUGUGCUGCUUACAUUUCUCAGGAGCUUUUACAAUUUUUUCAGAACAUAAUCUCUAACAUAAGUCCAUAGCAAAAUCUUAAUUGUCAAUGGGGGCUUUGUUCUGGGAGGCUAUUUUUGAAAAUGCCAGGUUAUCAGCUAGCCAUUGCAUAAAAGGCUGAAACAGGAAUUUGUUCAUAUGCCUUUGCUUCAGCAUAUUUAUUCCUUCAACUUCUCCCCCUACUUUCUCCAAGAAACACAUAGAGCUCUUCAAGUCCUUCUGGCAGGUGGGCUAUAUAAUGUUAUGGUGGCAAACCUGGAAAGCUUUACCAGUUCAUACCACCCAAUAAUGUGGUUCAUUGCAUGUAUUUUUAUUAGAUCCAAAUUUCCCAGUUUCUUUAAGGGCAUUUCAAUUUUUCAGUGGCUUUUUUUCUUUCCCUACCCAUCAGGGAGUGAAAUCAUGAGUCCAAAGAAUGUAAAUAACAGCUGUUUCUACUCAAUUUGCAUUCAUAUGCUUAGUACUUAAAAAUAGCUUAUUUCUAGAGGCUUUCACAAUCUAUUCAAAAUUUCUUCUUAGUCAGAGGUACUUGUGAGAUGUUAUUGAAAUCCCUUUGGACUGGCUGAUCAAAACAGCAUUUGAAAUUCUUCAAAUGACUGAUCAGUUCUGUAGCUUCUGAGCUACACUUCAGCAAUUGACUGAAGUGUAUCUUUUAAUCUCCUUGGACAUUUUAAGAUCAGUUCCUUGGGCUGCUCUACCUGCUCUAAGGGGGCAAAAUAUGCCAGAUGAGGAGAUGAAUGGUUAAAAAAAAAUCUAUGCUAAACUGGUCGUGUAUUUCUAGCAAAAUUAAUUUAUUAUACAAGUGCAGCUGAACAGGGAAAAAAAACCAAACAAAAGCAACACCUGGCAAGGUAUUUAAAGGGGACAGCUUAUUUGCCAGUGUUACAGAUCUUUGAAUAAACAAAACCCUUAUGCCCUGGGAAGAACUGAAAAACAGCCCUUUGGUUUUGAGACUACUGUUUUCUUUUGUUGACGUUUCAUGAACCCUAAAUAGGAUACACAUUUGUAUUCAUUAAUGCCUAAAGGAAGAUUUUAAGAAUUAUGUCCAAUUACUGAAGGGUUUUUUCCUCCAAAAAACUUUGGAAGCAUUUCACCUCAUUAUUUUGACAAGUGUCUCAACUUGAACCAUUUCUUCAGAUUUCUUUGAUCCUCUGAAGACUGAAAAUUACAGAACAAUAACAUUUAGUGACCUUUGGUAUGGUUCAUUUAUUCUAACAUUGACUGUGUAAGAAGAUGCUUGCUCCUAAAUGCAGAUUUUGUCUGAUAUUACAGAAAUGCACUUUCUUUUCUGCGUAUUUGUUUAUUCAGAAGAAAAAUCCUUUUAUUUUUACAGGAGUCUCAACUGGGGCAUCCCUGAAUGGGAGAUGCUGGACUGGUGACUGAAAUUGUUUAGAAAAAACUAUAUGUGUGAGUAUGUAUAAGCCUGUACCAGACUCAUUUAGACUUGGUACUCUGAGCAGACGAAGCUAAUCUAAGAUCAGGUAAUCUCUAAAAAUGCUGGGAGUUCAUACUACCUGAUUUCAGAGAGCAACUUUGUAUUUCUUAAUUAAAAAGAAUGUCACUGAUGUCAAGAAGGACUUAUACUGGGAACUUAAGAGGAAUAUAUAUGGCUUAUAUUCAUACUAGAUCCCUUCAGAGCAGACUCGCAUACUCACAGCCCACAGUGCUCCUUGGACUCCUUCUGGUACCCCUCUAGAGCCAACAUGCAAUUCUGAUUUUUAUGUGUUAUCUUCCAGUUUGAAGUUUGUGAAAUGGUGUGAACCUGACCGCAGCCUGUGAGAAGGGUGCUUUCCCAGCAUCAGCCAGGUACGCGUUGCCCGUUCUGGGAUGCGGUAAGCUGAGGGCGCAGCCAGCUUGGCUGGUUUAGAGCAUGUCCUGUGAAGCCAAGCAAGAUGUGACCUUGGGAGUGCUGCUUGGUGCUGUCCCUGCAGCAGUGGGAAGCCAUUGCUUUCAGGAGGGCUUGUGGAGGUGUGGGAGCAGCAGCAGGGGCCGGAGCUUUGCUCCCAGACUGCCACAGUAACAACGUGCCCAGAGGGAUCCUGAACAUCUCUGCUGCCGACGCCACCUCGGUGUGGUGAAGCCCAGGGUCCUGGUUUCACCUGCCAGAGUUACACAGGUAUUUUCACUGUAGAAUAAAUGCAGCACUGGUAAAGAAACACAAGGCUUUUCCUGCAUGAUUUCCACAAAGUCGUAAGUUACAAUCUUGGUCGUAUUGAAACAAAACACUCACCCAGUUCUAACAAUUCAAGCUUUUGUCUCUGGACUGGACAGGGCCUGGCUAGGCACUGUGAAGGUACUAACCUCUGCUGCUCUUCUCGUCACAGCUCAUGGUGUCACCUUUCAGCCUUACCAGUGGCCUCUCUGGGUUCACUUCAGAUCUUUCUCAAACAAAUAUGGCCAUAUAAAGCCAGUGAAUUGUAAACCCAUGCAGCCAAAACUACAGCAUGUUUCUUUCAGCAUUUUAAUACAAAUAUAUGCUCUAGAAAGGCAAUUUCUCUGCCAUUUUUCUGACCUCCACUUAUGAUGAAUUUUCCAUUAAUUUUAUUUGCUCUGCGCUUCUACUCUGUAUAGGAAAUCCUUUUUUCUUAAUCUAGUUCUAAAUUUUGUGGAACUUGCUACCACUCUGUUACUCCAUCACUAAGACCAGGGUUUUACCUGUAGGAAAAAUGGCAUGGGGGAAAGGGAAUUCUGUAAACAUCUAUUAUUGAAAAAUUACAAAUGAACCUAUACUGAAACUAUCAGUUUUAAAAAUUACAAAAUAAAUUUUAAAAAGUAUAUGAAGCCUUAUGUUACUUAUAACAACCGAACAAAUGUUAACUAAUUAAGGGUCAAGGAGAUCUUAUUCCUAGCAUUUGUUUAUUAUUCAAGUUUGUGCAAUAAUUCAAGUUUGUUAGUGCAAUAACUUUUCACUGUUCUUUUAAUUUUUCUCUGUAACUUUCAUGGUCAAAAUUUUAUUAGUUUUAGCAGAAGAGAUGCUAAAAAACAGUUCUUUCAGAAUUUUUUUUUAUCAUCUCACAUUUUGCUGGUAGGGGGAUCCUUUUGCUGAGUAAUUAAACUUUGGUAGCAGUCAAAACUGGUACUAUUUAAAAGGUAAAUUGCCUCUGACCUGACACUGUUUUUCAUUUUGACAAUUAGUAAAGCUGAAUAUAAGCACAACUUUUUUCUGUAUUUAUGUUUGAUAAAGUUGGCAAAGCUUCUUAGUUCUAUUGGCUGUGCCAACAUCUUGUGUUGUCUCUACACAACGAGAAACUUUGUGAUGCAUACACCUACAUCAUGACCUUUAAUAAAGUGGCAUGCAGGAUCAUAAACUUCUACUCCUCCAGAAGCCAUAAGAUGCAAAAUUGCUGACCAAACAUGCUAUUAGUUCAUGCAGCUUCCACAUACCUCCCACUGUCUGAUCUGCAGUGUUCCAACAGCUGUAGUUAUACACAGUAGAACUAACAUUUUGUAUCAAUUGUAUUUAAAGUUCCAGAUAAUUCCAUGCCCAGUAAAUCAUAAUUUAUUAUGUUUGUUUUUGUAGAAGUACCUAAAGGUAACAGUUGAACUAUUAGCCUCAUUUUAUAAGAGGUGCCAGAAAGAUAUAUAAAUUUCUUACGUAUCUUAUUUCUCCAAACAGCUUCUUAUUUUUAGCAUUGCAGGAUUGAUUAAAUACAAAUUGAGAUUAAAAUCUUAUACACAGCAUACAUUUACAAAUUAAAUGUGUAUGAAUUACUGUAUAUAGAAAAGUAAGAGCUCCUAUAUACACACUACAUACUAUUGAAGGCUAACAGAAACACCAAAAAUGGUUUUAUCUGAAUUUUAACAGUAUUUUGCAUAAUUGCGUUCCUAAAUUUUAAAAAAUAGUAAUAAAAAAAGAGAAAGGCCCCUACAUAUAUUAGAAAAUCUCAUCUUCAUCUUUCCUUCACAGAAAAGGAAAACGCAUCUCCAGAGAACAAUUUUGUGAACAAUAAAAUGUUAAAAUAAGAUCAACUGCCUUGUGCUGACUGACCAUAAGGGAGGCCUGUGAAGAUUAAUUCAGGUUUAAAUGCCUAAUUAGUAUAUGUCUCAAUCUUGGAGAUAAUCCCAAAUUUUAUUUAUCAUAUGUACACAAUUUGUUCCUUUAUACUGGUGACUAGUGGGUUUGCUCUAGAUCAAUUUUGUUAUAUUGUAGCAUUAAAAUAAAAUACACAUCAUCUAUUAGGGAUGAGGAA
Molecule: non-coding RNA, 5042 nt
Organism: Taeniopygia guttata (zebra finch)
Lineage: Eukaryota; Metazoa; Chordata; Aves; Passeriformes; Estrildidae
Source: RefSeq, a predicted model, not a curated record